GACGAACGCUGGCGGCGUGCUUAACACAUGCAAGUCGAACGGUAAGGCCCUUCGGGGUACACGAGUGGCGAACGGGUGAGUAACACGUGGGUGAUCUGCCCUGCACUUCGGGAUAAGCCUGGGAAACUGGGUCUAAUACCGGAUAGGACCACUGCCUGCAUGGGUGGUGGUGGAAAGCUUUUGCGGUGGGGGAUGGGGCGGCGGCCUAUCAGCUUGUUGGUGGGGUGGUGGCCUACCAAGGCGACGACGGGUAGCCGGCCUGAGAGGGUGACCGGCCACACUGGGACUGAGAUACGGCCCAGACUCCUACGGGAGGCAGCAGUGGGGAAUAUUGCGCAAUGGGCGCAAGCCUGAUGCAGCGACGCCGCGUGAGGGAUGACGGCCUUCGGGUUGUAAACCUCUUUCAGCACCGACGAAGCGCAAGUGACGGUAGGUGCAGAAGAAGGACCGGCCAACUACGUGCCAGCAGCCGCGGUAA
This 478-nucleotide ribosomal RNA is filed under the name uncultured bacterium. RNAcentral describes it as "partial 16S ribosomal RNA". It matches the Rfam family "Bacterial small subunit ribosomal RNA", at positions 28 to 523 of the family's 1533-position model. The record is from RNAcentral.